UUUAAUAUGGCAGAACUAGUGCAAUGAAUUUAAGAUUCAUAUAUAAAAUAAUUUUUUAUUAAAA
RNAcentral lists this transfer RNA (64 nucleotides) under Hylaeus sp. KNM-2005. RNAcentral's name for it is "tRNA-Leu". The record is from RNAcentral. Lineage: Eukaryota; Metazoa; Arthropoda; Insecta; Hymenoptera; Colletidae.